GGGGUGGUGAAAAAGUGGAACUAUUGUUGUUAUUCCAAUCUACAUAAGGAGGACAAUUAUUUUCUGUUUGGUUUUCUACAAAACUGAAAGAUCUAUGUUCUUGUUCUUGUUCUUUUGCAACAAGAGUGUUGAAGUUGAAGUUGUAAAAAUCUUUGAUUCCAUAACUAAAAGGAUCUUGUGUUUGUGGAUAAACCACUGCUUCUAGUGCCAUGUCUUUCACUCUAUCUCUUUCCUCUUCAGGUAAACACAUAACAAUCAAUCAAUUUUAUUUCUAUCCU
RNAcentral lists this long non-coding RNA (278 nucleotides) under Medicago truncatula (barrel medic). Its description in RNAcentral is "lncRNA gene4706". The record is from RNAcentral. Lineage: Eukaryota; Viridiplantae; Streptophyta; Magnoliopsida; Fabales; Fabaceae.